This 2203-nucleotide long non-coding RNA is filed under the name Monodelphis domestica (gray short-tailed opossum). Its description in RNAcentral is "lncRNA (ENSMODG00000044139.1)". The record is from RNAcentral. Lineage: Eukaryota; Metazoa; Chordata; Mammalia; Didelphimorphia; Didelphidae.
GGGGAUUAAAUUAAUCCAAAAAAAAAAGAAAAAAAGAAUGAGGAGGAGGAGGGGGAGGAGGAGAGAAGAACAAGAAGAAGAAGGAGGAGGAAGAGGAGAAAAAAGAGAAGGAGGAAGAGGCAACAUGAGGAAUGGAUCUGUCAUUUUCUUGCCAAAAGUUUACUCUCCUUAGUGAUAUAACCAAGUCAAUGGUUCACCUUAAAAUGACCUUUUAAAAUGAUGUAACAAGGUAUGAACAAGAGCUACCCUUUCUGGGGUCAUCAAAGUUUGGAUAAGGGGGCAAACAACUGUUGUCCCUGAUUUAGAGUUUUCAAAUGUGUUUGAUGCCAUCCACACACAAACCCAACUGUGGGAAUAGUGAAAACGUCUAAAAUUGAUUGAAACUGGAGGAUCCAUCUCUCCUCAUUUUUUGAUGCACCAAUUCAGAACAACAAAGCACCCUUCCUGAAAAUGAUGAUGAAAGGCGGCGAGGCAGCCCAGUGGUCAACCAGACUGAGAGGCGCUCCUGAAAUGUAAAGCCAGAUGUCUGCAUCCACCCUGGGACUCUGUUCAACACAGUCAACAACAAACAGUUGCCUGAAGAUUUCUGUUUGUGGAGUGAUCUGCAAGCAUGUCUGAUCAAAAGGAGUCACCACCAAGUGGUGUAAAACCUUCCUCUUCUCAACCCAUUAGCACUUCCAGCUCUUCUGAUUCAAAAGAGAAUCUCAUAGAAAAUUUACUAGACAACUUGCUUCCUGAAAUCCUUGUGACAGAAGAAAAAGAAGAAUCUUCUACAGAAAUAAGUCGCAAAAGGCCAGAGUUGCUGAUUCAGGAUACCACCAAAACUCCACCUCCUUCCACAGCUCCUUCCCUAUCUUUAGACUCUUUUACUUUUUCUCCAGUUAAAAGUGAUGACAAACAACUGAAAGUCCCAGGACUAGCACCAUUUUUAUCAAGCAGCUCAGAGGAAGCACUGUUCAAAGAAGGAUUGGAGGAUAUCCGGAAAAUAACAUCAGGGUUAGGCUUACCUUUCCUUUUAGGCUAUUCUGACGACUCUUCCAGCUCAUCUGGUUUUAUCCCAAUUCCACUGUCUGUUCCUCCGAAGCAACUUGAAGGCAAACUAUUACUGGUCCACGCAUCUCGUUCAGUGCACCGUGCCACUCAGACCUCCUGGUUAGAAAAUGACUCUGAUUUAUCUUCCACGGAAAACAUUACAUCUUCCACCACGGUUGUUACAAAAAAAAACGACAGUGCUGUUCGGUCAUGGCCAUCACCUACCAGGACGUAUCAGACUGUGUUUAGGAGCAUCCUACAAGAAUUGCUAGAACGAGAAUUACAAGAAGCUGAUAUUGACGUGGCGCCCUCUGCUCGGCUAAAACAAGAUACCCGAAUGAGACUUGCCCACAUGUAAGUGGAUGGGUAUAUUUUGCAUUAUAAUUAAGGGGUCAGGCCAGAACAUAAGCCAAAGUGAAACACGAAUGGCCAGGGAAGGUUUAAAUGAAGUCUAGAGGGCCAGACACGCAGAUAUGCCGAGUCAAGCCCUAGAAGGUCAGUUGGUCUCUGCUCACCUGUAUGUAGUGAGGCCAGAAAAAGGUAGAUUGGAAAGGCACAGAAACACAUAUUACCCAGGACCAAAGAGAGAGCAGGAUCCAGAAAUCAGUCAGAAAAUGAGGUUUUGGAAGGGACAGACGAAAAAUUAGUAGGGAGGCAGCCUCAAAAGUAGGAAUCAAGUCCCUGCCAAAGAACAGGGCUAAAUCACAAGGUAAGGGUCCACGCAAGGACUCUAGGGUCAGAAAUCUAGGCAAAGAGUGACCUGCAAGGGAUCACAGCACAGGAAAGUGAUUGGCAAUGGCAAAGGCCAAAAAGGAGCUGGGGGAAAUGGGAAGGUGACAGGGAUCCAACCACCCACAGGUCAACCUGCUUUCAUAUAAACUUUAAAAAAUUUUUUCUGCGUUUUAAUUAAUUUAUUUAUUUUGAACAUUGUUUCUAAAUUUUUAGGAUCAAAUUCUCUCCUUCUACCAUGCCUACUGAGAAAGUAAGCAAAAUGAUAUAAAUUAUACAUAUGAAAUCAGGCAAAAAAGAUUUUUAUAUUGGCUAUAUUUCCCCAAAAAAGCAAGAAAAUAUAAAUGAGAAAAUUAUACUUCAAUUUUCACUCAGAGUUCAUCAGUUUUCUCUUUGGAAGUGGAUUGCAUUUUUUUCAUCAUGAAUCUUUUGGAAUUGUCUU